This 534-nucleotide unclassified non-coding RNA is filed under the name Hevea brasiliensis (rubber tree). The record is from RNAcentral. Lineage: Eukaryota; Viridiplantae; Streptophyta; Magnoliopsida; Malpighiales; Euphorbiaceae.
GGGAGUUGGAAGCUGGUGCUGGGAAUUGCCAAUUCUAUUCCUUCAGCUCCAACAUCGCCUCUCAUAGUGACCUCGCUGCCAAUUUGACCUUGUACUAUCACCUUCUGUGCUUGGCUAGUUAAGUAAUUUGAUGAAAGCUCCGUCGCGUUUUCUUUUUCUUGAGAAUGAUCACUUGGCAUAAAUGCAUCUUCAAGAAGAAAAUCACGCCAACUAAAGCUUGGUGUGGAUUUUUCCCGGUUUGCAGUUGAGCAAGUUGAAGAAGAAGAGGAUGAUGAUGAUGACAAUGAGCCUUCUUUAAGGAACUGAUCUGAGAUGAUCUCAUAGUUGGAGCAACUCGAGGCUUCCGUCACCAGUUUUAUAGCUUGAAGUUGAUCAAGAAGAUCCAAUGAGUGGUUGCUAUUACUGAUAGUGUUUUUACUGUUCAAGAAACAUUCUUGGAUUGGUUCCACUUUAGGGGGCACCAAAUGGUUGCUGAUGGUUGCAAUAAUUCCUUCUGGUUGGUAUGGACAUCGCUCUGCAGGUUUGGAGAUAAAA